UAGUGGCCUGGGAACUGAAGAAUCGAGGGCUACACAGGGUGGAUGGCCUAGAGGCAGAACAGGUCCAGAGGGCAACCGGGAGGCAGGACAAAGGGUAAAGCAUCUCUGUGGCGCUGCGUAGCAGAGACUUCCAACGGGGUUGGGAGCCAUGGAGACCACGUCAGCUAUUGUGGCCUCCAUGGCAUCCUGUGAAGGUUGCCAAGCAGGUUCCCUCAGCAGGGGAUUGCCAGAUGUCAGGGUGGAUCCUCAAACAGUUCUUUGAAGGCUUGGAAGACUCAGGAGGGGCAGGCCACAAACCAAGCCUAUUACUGACUACCUGCAGACUGGGAAGCCAGUCGGAGGCUAGCAGGGAGGGGUACAUGGCUAGCAUUCUGGGGGUUAGCAGACCAGUAAUUAGACUGGCGGCUAGCAGUCCAGAUGGUAGCUGACUGCGAUGGUAGCUGGAGGCUAGUGGGCGUUACGCCAGCUGACAGGGAUGCAGACUGGAGAUUAGCUGGCUGGAAGAUAUCAGGCUUGAGGCUAGCAAACAGCAGGUUAGCAGACUCUGAGAGAGACAUGAGACCGAGGUAAAAUGCAAGCACAAACGUGGCAUUUAUUGUCUUCCAUACCAACAAGAGGAGACACCGACACCAACAAGCAACAAAAAACAACUUGCACUGGAAGUAACUUGCUGCCUUUUAUACACUCCCUCCAUCAGCUUCAUGGUUUGCUCCUGCAGCUCUUAAGCAGGUGCUUGGGCCUACAACACUCCUUUGCCUCCGCCCCCUGCUGAAGAGACAACCAGGAAGAGG
Molecule: long non-coding RNA, 791 nt
Organism: Micropterus dolomieu (smallmouth bass)
Lineage: Eukaryota; Metazoa; Chordata; Actinopteri; Centrarchiformes; Centrarchidae
Exons: 3
Source: RefSeq, a predicted model, not a curated record